Molecule: ribosomal RNA, 1345 nt
Filed under: uncultured bacterium
Lineage: Bacteria
Description: bacterial SSU rRNA
Rfam family: Bacterial small subunit ribosomal RNA
Source: RNAcentral
GAUGAACGCUAGCGGGAGGCCUAACACAUGCAAGCCGAGCGGUAUUGUUUCUUCGGAAAUGAGAGAGCGUCUUACGGGUGCGGAACACGUGUGCAACCUGCCUUUAUCUGGGGGAUAGCCUUUCGAAAGGAAGAUUAAUACUCCAUAACAUAUUGAUUGGCAUCAAUUAAUAUUGAAAGCUCCGGCGGAUAGAGAUGGGCACGCGCAAGAUUAGCUAGUUGGUGAGGUAACGGCUCACCAAGGCGAUGAUCUUUAGGGGGCCUGAGAGGGUGAUCCCCCACACUGGUACUGAGACACGGACCAGACUCCUACGGGAGGCAGCAGUGAGGAAUAUUGGUCAAUGGGUGCAAGCCUGAACCAGCCAUCCCGCGUGAAGGACGACUGCCCUAUGGGUUGUAAACUUCCUUUGUAUAGGGAUAAACCUACCCUCGUGAGGGUAGCUGAAGGUACUAUACGAAUAAGCACCGGCUAACUCCGUGCCAGCAGCCGCGGUAAUACGGAGGGUGCAAGCGUUAUCCGGAUUUAUUGGGUUUAAAGGGUCCGUAGGCGGACUUAUAAGUCAGUGGUGAAAGCCUGUCGCUUAACGAUAGAACUGCCAUUGAUACUGUAAGUCUUGAGUAUAUUUGAGGUAGCUGGAAUAAGUAGUGUAGCGGUGAAAUGCAUAGAUAUUACUUAGAACACCAAUUGCGAAGGCAGGUUACCAAGAUAUAACUGACGCUGAGGGACGAAAGCGUGGGGAGCGAACAGGAUUAGAUACCCUGGUAGUCCACGCCGUAAACGAUGCUAACUCGUUUUUGGGCUUUAGGGUUCAGAGACCAAGCGAAAGUGAUAAGUUAGCCACCUGGGGAGUACGCUCGCAAGAGUGAAACUCAAAGGAAUCGACGGGGGCCCGCACAAGCGGUGGAUUAUGUGGUUUAAUUCGAUGAUACGCGAGGAACCUUACCAAGACUUAAAUGGGAAUUGACAGCUUUAGAAAUAGAGCUUUCUUCGGACAAUUUUCAAGGUGCUGCAUGGUUGUCGUCAGCUCGUGCCGUGAGGUGUUAGGUUAAGUCCUGCAACGAGCGCAACCCCUGUCACUAGUUGCCAUCAUUCAGUUGGGGACUCUAGUGAGACUGCCUACGCAAGUAGAGAGGAAGGUGGGGAUGACGUCAAAUCAUCACGGCCCUUACGUCUUGGGCCACACACGUAAUACAAUGGCCGGUACAGAGGGCAGCUACACAGCGAUGUGAUGCAAAUCUCGAAAGCCGGUCUCAGUUCGGAUUGGAGUCUGCAACUCGACUCUAUGAAGCUGGAAUCGCUAGUAAUCGCGCAUCAGCCAUGGCGCGGUGAAUACGUUCCCGGGCCU